UUUCCGUAGGUGAACCUGCGGAAGGAUCAUUAACACGUAUCCAACGUAUCAACCCCUUUAUAUGAACUUCAACCCGCCCAUUGAUUGCGUUUGAGACGAAAGCAAUUUCGUCGAAGCAGCGUGCAGCUAGGAAUGGCUGUAUUGCUGGGCUCUGUUUCUUCACAGAAAUACUCCGCGUUUUACUGGUGCCUUUUUUUCUUUCAACCCAUUCUCUGGUUUGACGAAAGUAACACUUCUUGUUGGGUUCUUCGGAACUUGCAGGAUUUUAUUUAUUGAACGCUGAACAACUUUUAGCAACGGAUGUCUUGGUUCUC
This 314-nucleotide unclassified non-coding RNA is filed under the name soil metagenome. RNAcentral's name for it is "partial contains small subunit ribosomal RNA, internal transcribed spacer 1, and 5.8S ribosomal RNA". The record is from RNAcentral.